This 1151-nucleotide ribosomal RNA is filed under the name Massilia sp. IC2-477. Its description in RNAcentral is "partial 23S ribosomal RNA". It matches the Rfam family "Bacterial large subunit ribosomal RNA", at positions 1770 to 2925 of the family's 2925-position model. The record is from RNAcentral. Lineage: Bacteria; Pseudomonadati; Pseudomonadota; Betaproteobacteria; Burkholderiales; Oxalobacteraceae. RNAcentral also lists the same sequence under 2 other names.
GAAAGGGUUGCAAUAAACUGGUGGCUGCGACUGUUUAAUAAAAACACAGCACUCUGCAAACACGAAAGUGGACGUAUAGGGUGUGACGCCUGCCCGGUGCUGGAAGAUUAAAUGAUGGGGUGCAAGCUCUUGAUUGAAGUCCCAGUAAACGGCGGCCGUAACUAUAACGGUCCUAAGGUAGCGAAAUUCCUUGUCGGGUAAGUUCCGACCUGCACGAAUGGCGUAACGAUGGCCACACUGUCUCCUCCCGAGACUCAGCGAAGUUGAAAUGUUUGUGAUGAUGCAAUCUACCCGCGGCUAGACGGAAAGACCCCAUGAACCUUUACUGUAGCUUUGCAUUGGACUUUGAACCAAUCUGUGUAGGAUAGGUGGGAGGCUUUGAAGCGGGGACGCCAGUUCUCGUGGAGCCAUCCUUGAAAUACCACCCUGGUUUGUUUGAGGUUCUAACCUUGGUCCGUUAUCCGGAUCGGGGACAGUGCAUGGUAGGCAGUUUGACUGGGGCGGUCUCCUCCUAAAGUGUAACGGAGGAGUUCGAAGGUACGCUAGGUACGGUCGGACAUCGUGCUAAUAGUGCAAUGGCAUAAGCGUGCUUAACUGCGAGACCGACAAGUCGAGCAGGUACGAAAGUAGGACAUAGUGAUCCGGUGGUUCUGUAUGGAAGGGCCAUCGCUCAACGGAUAAAAGGUACUCUGGGGAUAACAGGCUGAUUCCUCCCAAGAGUUCAUAUCGACGGGGGAGUUUGGCACCUCGAUGUCGGCUCAUCACAUCCUGGGGCUGUAGCCGGUCCCAAGGGUAUGGCUGUUCGCCAUUUAAAGUGGUACGUGAGCUGGGUUUAAAACGUCGUGAGACAGUUUGGUCCCUAUCUGCCGUGGGCGUUGGAAAUUUGAAGGGGGCUGCUCCUAGUACGAGAGGACCGGAGUGGACGAACCUCUGGUGUACCGGUUGUCACGCCAGUGGCAUUGCCGGGUAGCUAAGUUCGGAAGAGAUAACCGCUGAAAGCAUCUAAGCGGGAAACUUGCCUUGAGAUGAGAUUUCCCGGAGCCUUGAGCUCCUUGAAGGGUCGUUCGAGACCAGGACGUUGAUAGGCUGGGUGUGGAAGUGCAGUAAUGCAUUAAGCUAACCAGUACUAAUUGCCCGUACGGCUUGUCCCU